UAUAUAAAUUUUCGCAUACAUCAUUUAUUAAAAUUAAAAAUAAGACUUUAGAAACGCCAGUUUCUUAACAAAUAUGUUUUAUUUCAAAGGCAAUAAAUAAAAUUUUACUAUUUUCAUACGUUGCAGUAUUUAUAGUGCAUACUUGUAAAAGGCAUGCACACAUACCAGCACUUUUAUUCAAUUUUAUAUUUACCUUUUUCUAAUUUUAUUUUAGCGAAUGAACAAAAUAACGCGUAUCUAUCGAUAUCGAUAGAUAAUUCAAUGAGCUACGUGGUGCGGCCUUGGCUGAGUAGCAUUAGAAAUCGACCGAUCACGGCAAUGUCAACCAUAUUUUAAACGCAAUUAAGUUUAUAAUUGCUACCACUUAGAAUACCGCCAUCUAUGGUCAAAUAGCGGAAUUAACUGGACAAUCAAAUUUAGUGUGACUAUAGCUCGUAAGUACGUUCUUCCGCUAAAGCAAAAUAAAUCUUAUUUCUAGAACGUCAGGGUUUGUUUCCAAAUCUGUGACGUAGGCUAGUUUUGACUAAACUUAAAACGACAAAUCAAACGGUUUGUUUCUUUGUAGUGCAAUAUAUGUUUAUCGGUAUAUUUGUAUGAGUUUGGCGACAGCGGUUCCUAUAGUAAUUUUGGUGCAUUGCACUUCCACUGUUUUUUCUGUUCCGUGCCAAAUACCAAUA
Long non-coding RNA from Maniola jurtina (meadow brown), 677 nucleotides. RefSeq lists it as uncharacterized. Lineage: Eukaryota; Metazoa; Arthropoda; Insecta; Lepidoptera; Nymphalidae. The transcript is spliced from 3 exons. The record is from RefSeq and is a predicted model, not a curated record.